This is a non-coding RNA of Aedes aegypti (yellow fever mosquito), 74 nucleotides long. The record is from Rfam. Lineage: Eukaryota; Metazoa; Arthropoda; Insecta; Diptera; Culicidae.
CCUCUCAUGGCGUAGUGGUUAACGCGCCCCAACUAGAGAUCGGGGAGUCGUGAGUUCGAUUCUCACUGAGAAAA